GAACUUUGUGUUUCCAAAUUCUUUUGGCCUAUGCCUAAGUUCCCUCCUUUUAAGGGAUUUGAUCAUCCUUUCCCUUUACCUCCACCUUUGGAGCUUCCACCGUUUCCUAAACCAUGCCCACCACCUCCGGUUCCGGUGUACGAGCCACCCCCAAAGGUGGAACUUCCACCACCUGUCCCGGUUCACGAGCCACCCCCAAAGGUAGAGGUUCCACCACCCGUCCCGGUUCACGACCCACCGCCAAAGGUGGAGCACCCACCUCCGGUUCCGGUUUACAAGCCACCUCCAAAGGUAGAGCACCCACCUCCAGUUCCGGUUUACAAGCCGCCUCCAAAGGUAGAGCACCCACCUCCGGUUCCGGUUUACAAGCCACCUCCAAAGGUAGAGCACCCCCCUCCGGUUCCGGUUUACAAGCCACCUCCAAAGGUAGAGCACCCACCUCCGGUUCCAGUACACAAGCCACCAACAAUCCCUAAGAAGCCAUGCCCGCCUAAGUCGCCGAAGAUUGAGCUUCCACCGCCAGUGCCAGUUCACAAACCACCGACUAAGAAGCCUUGUCCGCCCAUGCCACCAAAGAAAGUUGAUCCGCCACCGGUUCCAGUCCACAAGCCGCCGC
Molecule: long non-coding RNA, 616 nt
Filed under: Brassica napus (rape)
Lineage: Eukaryota; Viridiplantae; Streptophyta; Magnoliopsida; Brassicales; Brassicaceae
Description: long non-coding RNA (BNAP_LNC007081)
Source: RNAcentral